GGGCCCGCACAAGCGGUGGAGCAUGUGGUUUAAUUCGAUGAUACGCGAGGAACCUUACCAGGACUUAAAUGUAAGUUGCAUGAUUCAGAAAUGAAUCUUUCUUCGGACUACUUACAAGGUGCUGCAUGGUUGUCGUCAGCUCGUGCCGUGAGGUGUCAGGUUAAGUCCUAUAACGAGCGCAACCCCUAUCGUUAGUUGCCAUCAAGUAAAGUUGGGAACUCUAGCGAAACUGCCGGUGCAAACCGUGAGGAAGGUGGGGAUGACGUCAAAUCAUCACGGCCCUUACGUUCUGGGCUACACACGUGCUACAAUGGCCGGUACAGAAAGCAGCCACUAUGCGAAUAGGAGCUAAAUCUUUAAAACCGGUCUCAGUUCGGAUCGCAGUCUGCAACUCGACUGCGUGAAGCUGGAAUCGCUAGUAAUCGGAUAUC
RNAcentral lists this ribosomal RNA (431 nucleotides) under uncultured bacterium. RNAcentral describes it as "bacterial SSU rRNA". It matches the Rfam family "Bacterial small subunit ribosomal RNA", at positions 917 to 1350 of the family's 1533-position model. The record is from RNAcentral.